RNAcentral lists this unclassified non-coding RNA (253 nucleotides) under uncultured Dehalococcoidia bacterium. RNAcentral's name for it is "contains 16S-23S intergenic spacer region". It matches the Rfam family "Bacterial small subunit ribosomal RNA", at positions 524 to 776 of the family's 1533-position model. Lineage: Bacteria; Bacillati; Chloroflexota; Dehalococcoidia. The record is from RNAcentral.
UACGUAGGGGGCAAGCGUUGUCCGGAAUUACUGGGCGUAAAGGGCGCGUAGGCGGCCCAGAAAGUCUUCGGUGAAAUCUCCCGGCUUAACUGGGAGCGGUCCGGGGAAACUUCUGGGCUUGAGGACAGCAGAGGAGGGUGGAAUUCCCGGUGUAGUGGUGAAAUGCGUAGAUAUCGGGAGGAACACCAGUGGCGAAGGCGGCCCUCUGGGCUGUACCUGACGCUAAGGCGCGAAAGCGUGGGGAGCGAACCGG